CAUAUCAAUAAGCGGAGGAAAAGAAACCAACAGGGAUUGCCUCAGUAACGGCGAGUGAAGCGGCAACAGCUCAAAUUUGAAAUCUGGCUUUCACCGGGCCCGAGUUGUAAUUUGCAGAAGAUGCUUGGGGCGGGGCCGCGUUCUAGGUCCCUUGGAACAGGGCGUCAUAGAGGGUGAGAAUCCCGUACGUGACCGCGUGCCUCUGCCCGUGUCAAGCUCUUUCGACGAGUCGAGUUGUUUGGGAAUGCAGCUCAAAGCGGGUGGUAAAUUCCAUCUAAGGCUAAAUACCGGCCAGAGACCGAUAGCGCACAAGUAGAGUGAUCGAAAGAUGAAAAGCACUUUGGAAAGAGAGUCAAACAGUACGUGAAAUUGUUGAAAGGGAAGCGCUUGCAACCAGACUUGGGCGCCGACGGUCACCCGGUGUUCUCACCGGCGCACUCGGCGGCGCGCAGGCCAGCAUCGGUUCGGGCGGUCGGAGAAAGGCCCUGGAAAUGUGGCUCCCCUCGGGGAGUGUUAUAGCCCGGGGCGCAAUGCGGCCAGCCCGGACCGAGGACCGCGCUUCGGCUAGGAUGCUGGCGUAAUGGUUGUAAUCGACCCGUCUUGAAACACGGACCAAGGAGUCUAACAUCUAUGCGAGUGUUUGGGUGUCAAACCCAUCCGCGCAAUGAAAGUGAACGGAGGUGAGAACCCUGAAGGGUGCAUCAUCGACCGAUCCUGAUGUCUUCGGAUGGAUUUGAGUAAGAGCAUAGCUGUUGGGACCCGAAAGAUGGUGAACUAUGCCUGAAUAGGGUGAAGUCAGAGGAAACUCUGAUGGAGGCUCGCAGCGGUUCUGACGUGCAAAUCGAUCGUCAAAUUUGGGCAUAGGGGCGAAAGACUAAUCGAACCAUCUGGUAGCUGGUUCCUGCCGAAGUUUCCCUCAGGA
Molecule: ribosomal RNA, 922 nt
Filed under: Caesiodiscus populicola
Lineage: Eukaryota; Fungi; Ascomycota; Leotiomycetes; Helotiales
Description: partial large subunit ribosomal RNA
Rfam family: Eukaryotic large subunit ribosomal RNA
Source: RNAcentral